AGAGUUUGAUCCUGGCUCAGGAUGAACGCUAGCGGCAGGCCUAAUACAUGCAAGUCGAGGGAUACUAUUGGAUUCGUCUGAUGGGAAACCGGCGCACGGGUGCGUAACACGUAUGCAACCUACCUAUAACUGGGGUAUAGCUCAGAGAAAUCUGAAUUAAUCCCCCAUAAGAUUAUGUUCUGGCAUCAGGAAGUAAUUAAAGCUGAGGCGGUUAUAGAUGGGCAUGCGUUGCAUUAGCUAGUUGGUGAGGUAAUGGCUCACCAAGGCUACGAUGCAUAGGGGGUUUGAGAGGAUGAUCCCCCACACUGGUACUGAGACACGGACCAGACUCCUACGGGAGGCAGCAGUAGGGAAUAUUGGUCAAUGGACGCAAGUCUGAACCAGCCAUGCCGCGUGCAGGAAGACGGCCCUAUGGGUUGUAAACUGCUUUUAUAUGGGAAGAAACCCCCUGAUGCGUUAGGGGCUGACGGUACCAUAUGAAUAAGGAUCGGCUAACUUCGUGCCAGCAGCCGCGGUAAGACGAAGGAUCCAAGCGUUGUCCGGAUUUACUGGGUUUAAAGGGUGCGUAGGCGGGAAAUUAAGUCAGUGGUGAAAGCCCUCAG
RNAcentral lists this ribosomal RNA (602 nucleotides) under uncultured freshwater bacterium. RNAcentral's name for it is "bacterial SSU rRNA". It matches the Rfam family "Bacterial small subunit ribosomal RNA", at positions 8 to 607 of the family's 1533-position model. The record is from RNAcentral.